CAAGACCCGGCCCUCUGGGUGGGCUCGUUUCUAUGGACACAAACAGAGGCCAGAAGGAAACCGAAUGAAGCCGCCCCUCGGCGUCCCUCCAGAACCCCUUUAGGGGGAUCCUGGGCGGCUGUGGGGUUCCCAGGAGGAAUCUGUGCCCCGAGAGGCUCGCCUGAGCCUGUGGACCCCUUCGUGCUGCUCUUCGGUCACCCUCAUUCCUGGAGGAGGCUGCAGAGGCCGGACGGUCCCCCCAAGAUCAGAGGGGGGCAGGAACAACAGGGUUCUGAGCAGCCGGAGCCAGAAGCUCCUCUUCCUCCCCUCAAGACAGUCCCCCCAGCCUCCUCUCUGGGCCCAGGACGGGGUCUCUGCAGACUUCGGCCUCCUUUCCUGGCCUUCCCACGGAGGCAGACGUUGAUCAGAGAGGCCUUGGCCCAGUCUGCUUCCCUCCUGCACCUCCCUGUGUCUGCAUCCCUUCAUGGACCCAUUAUUCCGGCUUCCUCUUCCUCCCAGACACCCCCUUUCCUCUCCCAGGGAGCCGACAAGGCCCCAGACCCCCUCCUGCUCUGCGGCAGUCCCUGAGAGACCCUGGACAAGUCACUUUACUCUGUCUGCCUCAGUUUCCUCCCCUGACAAAUGAGCUGCAAAAGGACAUGGCAAAGCCGCCCAGCCUCUGCCCAGAAAGCCCCAAAGGGGAGGAUCAGACAGGCCUGACCAGCCUGAGCCCAGCAGCCCUGCAGACAGACACACAGACACCCCCAGACUGUCCUCUGUCCAUCAGGGUUCCGAGCUUGGGCUCAGUGGCUGCUGCUGCCUUCUGUGGCCUCCUCCAGGGCAGGAGGGGUUCCUGGGCCUCCCCCAGGCCUCUGGAGGGUCUUUGGGCCUCUGGGCUGGGGUGGUGCUGAAGGAGACCCUCCUCAGCCGGCCCAGAGGCCCAGGAGAGCCCGAGGGAGCAGCUCUGCUUCCCCCCAGAGCCUCUCUGGACCAGCUUCCCCACAGCCCUCGCUCAGGUUCUUUUUGUCUGGAUAUCACAUGGGGGAAACUGAGGCAAAGGCUGGGAAGGAACUUGGCCAGGCUUCCCCAGAUGGGCCGUGUCUGAGGCCAGAUUUGAGCCCAGAUCUUGGGGGUUCCAGGCCCAGGAGGGCAGCCCCUGAGUCACCUGAUUCCUCCUCUGGGGAGAGGGUUGGCGCUUCUGUUGGGGAGCCCCCGGGGUCCCCCAAAGCAGGAGCAGCAGAAAGAUCCCUAGAGGAGGGGAAGCUGUAGGAGGGGGGGGGGCUGGGCCUGGAGAGUCAGCGGCUGCCCUGUGCCUCAGUUUCCUUUUCUGUCAGAAGGGGGGUCCUGGCACCCCCUCCUCAGGUCCUGGGAGAGGAUGGAUCCAUUACCUGAUCAGUCAAUAGACACUUAUUAGGCCCCUGCUGUGUGCCAGGCUCUGACCUGAGGCAGCCUCCAGUGGAAAGAAGCAGCAACAGGGCAGGGCUGGAGGGGAUAUGGGGGGAGGGGAGAAGGCUGCAGCCCCCUGGGCUGAGGAACAUUUCCUAUAUGACCCCUCCCCCACCAGGAGGCUUGACCCAGGGACCCAGGCAGGAGAACUCCAUUUCCCAGAAUGCCCGUGUCAGGAUACCUUGCAUGUCUUGCUCUCCCCAUAGAAGACUGCAUUUCCCAGAAUGCUGUUUCCUGACUUCUCCCUAGUCUGGCUCCUCCCCCUGGGGCAGCUUCUAGGCAUGUUGGGAGUCAGCAGUGGGCUGCCUCAGCUCCUGGAAGUCUCACAUCUGUGCUUUUAGGACCUUUGCUGGGUGAGAGGGCGAGGGAGGCAAUGCGCAGGCGCGGCCCUGGCUCCCUGCUUUAUCAGCUGAGACGUUUUGCUCGCCAACUCUUGGGUAGCUGGACUGCUCGGGUGGACCAGUUCCGGGUUACUCAGUUUGGGUAGCGUGUCCGCAUGUUCGCUGAGAGAGGCGGGGCCGGAGCCACUUGCGCACACAGAGGAAGUCUCCCCCUCGGGGCUGCCACCCGCUGAAGCACCCCAAGGUGGCCCCGCAGAGAGGCCUCAGCCAGAGGAAUGGCCCCCGGGACCCCGAGGCCCCCCUCCCAGGGAUCAAUUGCACUCAAGGAUGUGACUGUGGACUUCACCUGGGAGGAGUGGCGCCUGUUGGACCAUUCUCAGAAAGAGCUGUACCUGGAGGUCAUGCUGGAGAAUGUGCAGAAUCUACUCUCUGUAGAGGCUGAGACUACUUUUGAAGUGACGGAGAUGACUACAAUGCCAAGUUUUUUUGUGAAAAGAUAUGACCCCCAAAGAUGCAUGAAUGAGGGUCCCUCUGGCUUCAUUUUGAGAGAAAUCAUUGACUCUAAUAUCAAGGUAAAUAAAAAUCCAAAGAGUCACAAUGUAUUUGAUGAAAAGACAGAGAAAUUCAGCCAAUAUUCAGUCCUAUAUCAGUAUAUGAAAUUGGCCUUAGGUAAUUGUCAGGAUCACGAAUAUGUCAAGUGCUCUCCUGAAGAAGUAGGACUUAUUCAGUGGCAUGAGAAACCUCUGGAUGUGCCCAUGUAUCAAUGUGACCUAGGUGGAAUGGCCUUUGACUGCAGUUCAGACCUCAGUAGACAUCCAAAAAGGAAAUGUGUAAAGAUAGUUUCUAUGAGUAAUAAAGGUGGGAAACCUUCCAGUCAGAACUCUGAGCCUGCUGCACAUGAAAUAAUACACUCUGGAGAGAAACCUUAUGAAUGUAAAGAGUGUGGGAAGGCUUUCACAUGGAAAGUCUCUCUUGCUGCACAUCAGAGAAUCCACACUGGAGAGAAACCUUUUGAAUGUAAACAGUGUGGAAAGGCUUUUAUAUGGAAGGUCUCUUUUACUGAACAUCAGAGAAUCCAUACUGGAGAGAAACGUUAUGAGUGUAAACACUGUGGAAAAGCUUUCACAAAGAGGGACCAUCUUGUCAGUCAUCAGAGAAUGCACACUGGAGAGAAACCUUAUGAAUGUAAACACUGUGGAAAGGCUUUAACACAGAGGGGCUCUCUUGCCAGACAUCAGAGAAUCCACAGUGGAGAGAAACCUUAUGAAUGUAAACACUGUGGAAAGGCUUUCACUCAGAGGAGCCAUCUUGCUACACAUCAGAGAAUCCACUCUGGAGAAAAACCUUAUGAAUGUAAACACUGUGGAAAGGCUUUAACACGGAGGAGUUCUCUUGCCAGACAUCAGAGAAUCCACACUGGAGAGAAACCUUAUGAAUGUAAGCACUGUGGAAAGGCUUUCACAAAUAGUGGCUAUCUUGCUGUACAUCAAAGAAUCCACACUGGAGAGAAACCUUAUGAAUGUAACCACUGUGGAAAGGCUUUCACAGAGAGGGGUUCUCUUGCUGUACAUCAGAGAAUCCACACUGGAGAGAAACCUUAUGAGUGUAAACAAUGUGGAAAGGCUUUCACAGAUAGCGGCUCUCUUGCUAAACAUCAGAGAAGCCACAGUGGAGAGAAACCUUAUGAAUGUAAACACUGUGGAAAGGCUUUCACAAAGAGGAGCCAACUUACUGCACAUCAGAAAAGCCACAGUGGGGAGAAACCUUAUGAAUGUAAACUAUGUGGAAAGGCUUUCCCAGAUAGCAGUUCUCUUGCUAAACAUCAAAGAAGCCACAGUGGAGAGAAACCUUAUGAGUGUAAAGAAUGUGGAAAGGCUUUUACAUGGAAGGUCUCUUUUAAUCAGCAUCAGAGAAUACACACAGGAGAGAAACCUUAUGAAUGCAAACACUGUGGAAAGGCUUUUAUGUGGAAAGGUGCUCAUACCAAACAUCAGAGAAUCCACACUAGAGAGUAACCUUAGAAUUGCAAACAAUGUGGAAAGACUUUCACAGAUAGGGGCCAUCUUGCCAGUCAUCAGAGAAUCUGCACUGGAGAGAAACCUACUGAGUGUAAACAAUGUGGAAAGGCUUUCACUUGGAGGGAGUCUUGCCAAACAUCAGAGCAUCCACAUUGGAUAGAAACUUAGUGAAUAUCAUUAAUUUGGAUAGGCUUUCAUAUAAAACACCACAGUUGUUUCAUGUCAGAAAAUCUGCCCUGUUAAGAAAUCUCAUGAGUGAGACUGAUCUUAUAGUUGGCACUCUUAGCUUAUUUGACAUAAGAGAAUCCACACGCCUUCUUCCCCUUUCCCAAGUUAUGCUGUUUACCAAUGGAGUAAGUCUGACUAGACUAAAGGGAUCUUUUUUUUUUUUUAAAUAUAUUUUAUUUGAUCAUUUCCAAGCAUUAUUCGUUAAAGACAUAGAUAAUUUUCUUUUCCUCCCCCCCCACCCCCCAUAGCCAACGCGUAAGUCCACUGGGCAUUAGAUGUUUUCUUGAUUUGAACCCAUUGCUUUGUUGAUAGUAUUUGCAUUAGAGUGUUCAUUUAGAGUCCAUCCUCUGUCAUGUCCCCUCAACCUCUGUAUUCAGGCAGUUGCUUUUUCUCGGCGUUUCCACUCCCAUAGUUUAUCCUUUCCUUAUGAAUGGUGUUUUUUUCUCCUGGAUCCCUGCAAGUUGUUCAGGGACAUUACACCGCCACUAAUGGAGAAGUCCAUUACGUUCGAUUAUACCACAGUGUAUUAGUCUCUGUGUACAAUGUUCUCCUGGUUCUGCUCCUCUCGCUCUGCAUCACUUCCUGGAGGUUGUUCCAGUCUCCAUGGAACUUCUCCACUUUAUUAUUCCUUUUAGCACAAUAGUAUUCCAUCACCAACAUAUACCACAGUUUGUUCAGCCAUUCCCCAAUUGAUGGGCAUCCCCUCGUUUUCCAGUUUUGGGCCACCACAAAGAGCGCAGCUAUGAAUAUUUUUGCACAAGUCUUUGUGUCCAUUAUCUCUUUGGGGUACAGACCCAGCAGUGCUAUGGCUGGGUCAAAGGGUAGAUAUUCUUUUGUUGCUCUUUGGGCAUAGUUCCAAAUUGCCCUCCAGAAUGGUUGGAUCAUUUCACAGCUCCACUAGCAAUGAAUUAAUGUUAAAGGGAUCUUUUUAAGCAAUGGUGAAAAGUGGAGACAGAGCAGAGGUUUCUCCCUCAUGACUCUGAGGAACUUUGGGAUGGGGAAGAGAACUGUUGAGGAGAGAAUCCAGGAAGAAGCCUAGUGUCUGGUGGAGGAGCUCCAGAAAAAAAAAAAAGGGUCAGUUCUUCAACCCCACCUUCAUCCUGGGCUGUGCUCCCUGCAAUGUGAUCUGCUCCAUCCUCUUUAACAAUCGCUUCAACUAUGAUGAUGAGAAAUUUCGGAGAUUGAUGAGCCUAUUAAAUGAAAACUAUCAGCUCUUAAACACACCAUGGAUCCAACUCUAUAAUAUGUAUCCUUCACUAAUAAAAUGUCUGCCUGGAAGUCAUAGAACCAUUCAUAAAAAUAGUGGCAAAAUUAUGGUUUUCUUAAUGGACCAAGUGAAGAAGCACCAGGAAACCCUAGAUCCAAACAACCCCCGGGACUAUAUUGAUGUUUUCCUCAUCAAAAUACAACAGGAGAAACUGAAUCCAGAGUCUGCAUUCAAGUAUCAGGAAUUGGUGGCCAAUGCAUCUACUUAGCUGCUGGUUCAGAAACAACAUCCAGCACCCUGAGAUAUGGGCUUUUACUGCUCAUGAAAUACCCAAAGAUUCAAGCCAAAGUUCAUGAAGAAAUUGGCCAAGUCCUUGGCUCAAGUAGAAAACCCUCCAUGCAGGACAGAGUCAAGAUGCCUUAUGUGGAUGUUGUUGUGCAUGAGAUACAGAGAUAUAUUCAUCUUGUGUCCUUGAUUCUUCCACGAUUAGCAGCCUAUGACAUCCACUUCCAAAAAUACUUGAUUCCUAAGGGCACAAAAGUAUUCCCCUUGCUCUACUCCAUCUUGUAUGAUAGAUAAGCAUUUCCCAAUCCAUAUGAGUGUGACCCAGAGAACUUCUUGGACAAAUCUGGAAACUUUCAGAAGAAUGACUGCUUUGUAAUAUUUUCUUCGGGAAAGUGCCUCUAUCUUGGGGAGAGCUUGGCUCAGAUGAAUUUAUUUCUCUUCCUAUUAUUCUGCAGAACUUUACCUUGAAUCCCAUGAUUGAGCCAAAAGAACUUGUCACCACCCCACUCAGAAGUGGAAUUGUCAACAUCCCCUUAAUUUACAAGUUAUUUCUUAUUCCUAGAUAAAUGAUGGACAGUCUUUAUUUUAUAGUCAUUCAAAUUAGGUUCAUUGCUUUGUUCCCAUAACACAGACCAUCAGUAUUUUAAAUGAUGAUCUUGGAUAUUCUUGGUGUUUGGAAGACAUUGCUACCCUCCUCAAGGUAAGAGCAAUUUCUGGAAGAAAAUAAGGAAAAACAUAUGAAGACAUGAAAAGAGAACAACAAUAAUAUAUACUGUUAUUACAUUUUUUAAAGUCACAAAAUUGAGAAAAAACUAUGAAAAUAAAACGAAUCCAAAGGGAACUCAAAAGCAAAGAACGUUUAUAUCAGAACAUAAACACAAUUUACCUCUUUUAAACAUUACAAAUAACCUGGAUAUUAUGAUUCAGCACAUAAUUUUAUGCAUUUCUUUAUUAAAUGACUUUUGAUGACAGUAGUUACUAAGUGUAAAAUAUUUUUUAAAAAACAGUGAUUAGACGGUUCCUUGAAGAGAGACAUAUGUGACCAAGGAACAAGAGAGUCACCACAACCUCAUUCUUGCUCCUCUUGUUUGGCAGCAGCAAAGAAAUACUACAAAGGGAAAAUCAUAUGCUCAGUUCAAGGGUUUAUUUUUAAUCUUAAGAAAUUCUGGAAAGUCUGCAAAUUUUCCUUAGCAAAUGGUUCUAAAUCUUGUUGAAGUGUUGAUUAUAGAGAAAUAAAGGAAUCACAUCUUUAAAAAAAUAAGAGAAUCCACACUUUAGAGAAACUUUAGGAAUAUGACAAAUGUGGUAAGGCCUUCAGGCAUCAAUCAUCUCUUAUUCCUAACCAAGAAUUCCUUUUCAAUAGACAUCUUGCUAUCAUGAAUGAAGAAAGACAUUGAAAUGGAGAGUCCAGAGCUUGUUCAGUAGGAUAAAAUGUCUUCUGAACAGACCAAUUCAAGGUGGAUUCCCUGGAGGAAGGCUUUCAGCCAGGAUCCUAUCUUUUACUUUGUAUCAGAGGAUUCAUAGUGUAGAAAUACCUAAUCAGUAUGCUCAAAUUGUAUGUAUUUUCCUCAGGAUUAGGAUGAUCACUAUUAUUUAGGGAAAUGCAAAUUAUAAUAAGACUGAGGGAAUACCCCAUACCUUUUAGAUUUGCUAUUAUGACAGAAAAGGAAAGGGACAAAGUUGGAGGAGAUGUUGGAAAACUGAGAUACUAAUGAAUUAUUGGGAAAUUUGUGAACUGAUUCAGCAAUUCUGGAGAGAGCAAUUUGGAACUAUGACCAAAGGACAUUAAAAAGAAAAGAAAAGGACCUAUAGGUAUUUUUUAAAAAUCACUUAAAGCUGCUUUUUGGAGUAAUGACAGAAUUGGAAAGUAAGAGGAAGUUCAUCAAUUGGGAAUUUGCUAAGUAAAUGGUGUGGCAUAUGAUUGUAAUGGAAUAUUGUUUUAUAAUUAAUGAGGAGCUUGGAAAAAUUUGAGAACUGAUGCAGACUGAAUUUAGAAGCAACAGGAGAACAUUGCACAUUGUAACAGCAAUAUUGUAUGUAGAACAACUGUGAAUUGAGCUAUUCUCAACAAUAGAAUGAUCCAAAAUAAUUUCAAAGGACUCAGAAUAAAAAUUUCAUCCAUUUCCAAAGAACUGAUCAAGUGUGAAUCCAGACUGUAGCAUACCAGAAUAAGAGUGCAUGGGGAAGAUGUGGAAGAGAUGGAGGACCUGAUCCCUACUACUCAGUCCAUUCUAUCCAAGAACUUGGACUCAUCAUGCAGUUUGCUGAUUUCUGGGUCUGAGCAGAAGCCCAACCCCUCUGCUAAGUUUUGGAGUCUUGCAUGCUUGCAAAAGGUCUCCUUCCCGACCCUAGGGUAUCCUUCGAUCCAAUAAUAUUUUGACGCCCAACGUUUUUGGCUCUCCUGAAAGCUACUCCUGUACUCCGGAUCAUCCAUGAGGACACAGCUUCUCAGGUAGGAAAGAGCCUUUUCUUUGACUCCUGAAACCCCCAUCUUUUGGGUGAUAUCCUUGUGGGACCUCUUUCGUGCUUUCUCUCAUAUCGGCCCCAGUUCAGUCUGGCCACUGGAGUUUGGGGUCUGUCAGCUCCCUCUUAUACUGGAAGACGGUUCUAAGUUGUGUGGGAAGUCUUUCUGCCUCAAUGUUCAACUGAGUGCUCUUGGUCGGGAAACCUCUGUGGACGCACAGUUGUUGACUCUCCAGUGUGGAAUUGGCCAUUCCACAUCUAAAUGGGACAGAGACAGAGAGAAUCCCGAGAUUCCCCUUUGGGGUGUAUACUUUAAAAUUGGAAAAAAAUUGGCACCAAACAGCUUAAAGAAAAAGCAACCAAUUUCUUUUUGUAAUGUUGACUGGCCACGUUACAUCCUUGGUAAGAAGAGGCAUGGCCUAUUCAUGGCAAUUUUUUAUUUUCUUCAGCCUGAGGUCAAGCCAGAUAGGGACUAGCCCACCCAAUUAAGACAAAGGGAGAAGCAUGCUUGUAGGCCUCUCCUGUUGGGAAGAGAUCAAGUCUAAGCAGCCUGAGAGAAAAUUCAGUCAGAUUUUUUGUUUGUUUUCUCUCAUGUUAAAUAGCUGAGCAACAUCCAAAAAAAUGAUGAAUAAAUUGACUUUUUGUUACCCUAAAUUCCAACACCAGCUGGCAAUUGGACAUAUUUUUAUGGACAGAAGCUCAUUGCCUUUUAGCUUUAUUCUCUCACUAGGAUCCCAUUUCUCCAAACUCUACUCUUCACUUGGAUUUUAAGGCAAGGGCCCGCCAAGAAACCCAGGUGGAGAUGGGGGAAGGAAACCAGGAAGCUUUUCAGUUAACUGAUCAGAUCUGCCUUCCUCCUCUACUAAAGAGAGGAAGGGGGUUGAUUCUGAACAGAAAAACUGGUGAGACACCCCUAUUUGGGGGAUUUUUAAAUGUCUUACACUUUUAAAACUAAGGUUUUUUUCAACUUGUAGAACAACCUAUUAAUUAUCUUCUGUUUUGAGGUAAACAGGGAGAGAUAAGAAGACCUGAUAAAUCUCCUUUCCCUGUCUGCUAGACAGAAAGAAGUAAUGCUUAAAAUCUGUCUUUUAGAGGUAUUUAUUGGUAUUUUCAAAAUUGUGAUCAUGUAUUUAUAUGGGUUUAAAAAAUAACAUCCUAAUUUUAAUUUUGUCAGACAGUGAAAUUUGUUUGUAUAGAAAAGCCAUAGAUCAGUUUUGUAAAACAGGCUUUAGCAGUGUUUAAAUUUACCAAAGAUGGGUUUUUGUUUAAGAUUAUCAAACGGUUUUCAUCUCAGUGGUUUUCAUCCCAAUGUAUUAAAGUUGAACUAACUUUAUUAUUACAUUUAACUUCUUGAUCUUGAAAAUAGAUAAUCAGCCUGCUUGUCAAAAAGCUUGCUUUAAGGUUUAUGGUCCUUAAAAGGUUUCAAAGCUCUAAAUUUAAAAUGGAUUUUGUAAUACUAAAUGCUUUAUGAAAUUUUUUUGAAAUGUUAUAUGAGUUGCUGUUGAAAUAUGUAUUUUAAAUAUUGUUUGGAUGUAAACAAGCUCAUUGUAAACCUGACUCUACCAUAGAUUUUGUUCAAUACUCAGUGGUUACCUCAAUUUACCAAUUUGUUCUAUGAACUGAAAUUUAUAACUGAUGAGUACUAUGCUAAAGAUACAGCAUUUCAAUGAUCCUUUAAAUAAGAAUUCUUUUGGUUACCAAUUAGCAAUUGAAGUAAUACCAAGGGAAUGUUUGUUUGACUUAUGAUGCUAAAAGCAAGUCAGAGAAGGUGAAGAGGUAUGUUGGGUUUGAAUUCAGAAGAAAGAGGAACUUUGAUCUAAAGACCAUAAAUCUUGAGUAUGUAGAUUUGUGAAGGAAGAAUGGAAGUUGUGUUCUGCUUUUUAAGCAGAGGGUUUUAAAGGAAAAGAGAGAGAGAGAGAGGUGAAAGAGAACAGAUAGAUGUUUUGCUCUCAUAAUUGGAUCUUUAACUUGGGGAUAAUUUCUAGAAUUGAUGUAUAUAGUUUUGGAAAAAUCACAAAUAAUUCUGGAAUUUCUCUGAAAAUUCCUUAGAGAAAAUUCCUGACUGGUCUUGUCUUAGUUCCUUCAGAUGGCCUAAGGUCAGGAUAUGAUCUAGCCUUGAUUUGUAUAUUACUAUAGAGCUAAUGAAUUCAACAUUCCUGUUCAGGUUUUAUGACUAAAUUGUGACAAAUUAAUUAUUGCCAAAAUAUGUAAGAAUAAUUGCCAUAAUGUAGACUCAUAGGCUUUAAGGAAUCCUUAGAGAGGGCAAAUGGUCAGAAAAGCUUGUUUGAGGGUAUGGAAAUUUGUUUUUGGACUGCUGAUAAGCAGAAUUUCUCUGAGCUGUAAUGGGUGAGACUUGUCCUUUAAGGAAAAAAAGAAGGCUUCUGGGAUCCAGUGGCAAGUGCUCUAAGGAGAGAGAAAGCCCUAGGAUGGUUAUAGAGAAGGCAGCUCAAGGCUCACUUUGGACUGAAUUUUCCUGACCAUCUAGGCCUGCUGAUCCUUGAGUGAAACAAUAAUGGCAGUAACAGCCUUGCUUGGUACAUGAAGCCACUCACUGUGUCCUUUAACAUGAGGAGAUAUUUUCCCUUCUGGGCCUUCUUCCUUGGUGACAUUCCCAUAAUCAGCACAUAAUACAAAUUGGAAAAUUAAAGUUUCCAUUUCCCCAAACAACCUAUUAGGUUAAUAAUUGGACAUUCUCAAAUUGUUAGGGAACAUACUUUGAGAAGUAGAUGAAGUUUAUUCAUUGAUGGCUUGUAUUUGGAGCCUUAAUUUACCACAGUUGAAGUCUGGAUCUUGAGCUUGGAAUAGCUCAAAGCUCUUUUGAAUUUUCCCCAGAAUCUGGAGUAAAGAAAUUCAUCUGUAAAAUAUUGUUACUCAAAUGUUUAUAGAUGUUAUAGUUAAUAUGUACUUUGCAAAAGUAUAUUCUUUAACAGAAACAUCACAUACCAACUCUGCAAACAACUCGGGAAUCCUAAAGGGAUCUAUUCCUGUCAGAAGAUGAUUUCUUAAUAAGUCUGUUGGAUAAGAUACCCAAAUGCAAAUAUGUAAUGCCAAUUGUUAAUUGUACUAAUUUUCUUUGUUUCUAUCCCCCUAGUCCUGAUUUCUAAACUUCUAUCUUAGGGGCUGACUCUCCCCUUGUGACCUGUCUGCCCAUCAGGGGAAGCAGUCGCUGGACAUCCUUCACAUCUCUAAGCAGGUUCCCAGCUACCUAGGACCCAGCAUUCACUGAGGACAUGUCCCUAAGACCCUGUGCCAGCAGCCUUUCCUUCCCUGCUCUCUUAACCCCUUUUACUUUAGCCUUUAACUACCUGGCAAUAACUAUUUCUUUCCUUAAAUUUUGGGUCUUCUUCUAUGUUUUAAAUCAUGCAUACCCAGCCAGCCAGACAUAUAAUCCUAUGAUUCAGCUUGGGGAAGCAGUAGCUAGCCAAAGUGGGUCCCUCUAACUGUUGGGUCUGUAUGAAGCACCCCCAAAGUGGAGAGAACCCCAGGCCUCUAGCCCAAGGUCUCAGUGCCUCUGAGUUGUAUCCAAGACCUGAGGCUUUAGGGAGAUUAGCAACCACUCCAGUUUUGGCUACUCCCCUAUGGUUGGAUAUGUGGACCUUGUAUUUGUAACCUUGUCAUCUCUCUAGUUGCUUCUAGGGUAAAAGCACUCAUGCGAGUCACCCAGAUGCCAGAUGCCACCAUAACCUCGGCCACCAUCCCAGCCUGAUGCUCUGGACAUGGCCUACAGUCAAUACCUCUCUCUCUCUCUCCUAAUGUUAGGCAGGGACAACUCUACACCCAUUCUCAGCUCUGAAGAAGUUACAGAAGACAGACCACCAUCCUUUUUUCCCUUACAUAUUAGGAGUGGGGGAAAUGACAUGGGCACUGUACCCCAGAAACCCAGGCGAACUAUUACCAGGGAAACUCCCUUGUUUUUCCUCCUCCUGACUCUGAACCUAGAAACACCCAAUGACCCCCACCUAGGGUCCUGAGAUGUUUACCCUCUUUUGUCCUCUAGAUUUAAGAUGGACAAAGAGAUGAAUCUUUAUGCCUCCAGGCAGGCCCCAGUCAGAUGACCACCUCACCCCACCAAAUGCCUGAGGGACUAACACUCUCCAAGUCACAUCCACACCAGGACAUAGCAUCUAAAGAGUAUAUAAACCCCAGAACUGAUGUCGUCUGGGGGAACAGCCUCUCCAUCCAUGCUGUCCCCAUGGGGGAACAGCCUUUCCUUUCAUGCCAUCCUCCCAGGAACUGCUCCCCAUCUUGCUGUUCCACCUUGAUAUCCUCCUGGCCACUCUCAACAUUACUUUCUAAAUUAAUAAAUCUCUUUUUUUUGUUUUAAGCUAAA
Monodelphis domestica (gray short-tailed opossum) is the source of this 12297-nucleotide non-coding RNA. The record is from RefSeq and is a predicted model, not a curated record. Lineage: Eukaryota; Metazoa; Chordata; Mammalia; Didelphimorphia; Didelphidae.